Molecule: long non-coding RNA, 1398 nt
Organism: Brassica napus (rape)
Lineage: Eukaryota; Viridiplantae; Streptophyta; Magnoliopsida; Brassicales; Brassicaceae
Exons: 2
Source: RefSeq, a predicted model, not a curated record
AAAAAACACAUUUUUGAGUAAAGAGGGCAAGAAUCAGACCGCAGAUCUUGAUGGGAGCUUCGAGUUCGAGGAGAAUGGGUUGUUGAAGAAAGAUGUCUUUAGAGACAGCACAUAGCUGUCGGAUUUCACCUUCGCUGAGGUGAACUUGUUUACCCGAUCCAGGCCUCGUGUUCCGAAACUCAACCAAUCGCCGGAUUAUAUCGUCUAGAACCGCCGGUUCCAUCGCUCUCGUCUGCUCCUGCUCCUGCUCCGGCGCCGGCUUCUCCGCCAUAUCCGAUUAAAACGAGCGGAGAUUUCAAGUGUGAAGCUCUUUGCCUUCGGCGUUGUGGAGCUUGCGAGGAGGAGAGGGAGACAAGAAGAGACGACCGGCUCUGUCAGAUUGAUUUCAUUGGUCAAGAAGAGACGACCCGCUUUGCCUAUUAUAUAAAGCUCCAAGUAAACACCUCUUUCCCAUUGGACUUGUGCGUCAUAUCAAGCAACGAAUCGAGAUUGCUUCUUUGUUGGACCGGUGCGUCACAUCCGGCAACAAAUUGGCUUCGGGAAUAUCAGCAGCCUUCCGCAUCUGCUGUGCGACCCUUCAAUCCACCAUUUCUUUUUUUUGUUGGACUUGUGCGUCAUAUCAAACAACAAUCGAAGCUCGGUAGUAUCAAGAGAUUCUCCGCCCCUCUUGUGUCACCAUUCAAUCCACCAGUUAUCCCUUUUGGCGAGUUCAUAUCCUUAAGUCCGAUUGAGUGAUCCUAGGACGUAUCAAGUGGUAUCAGAACCACUCAACCGGUACUUGUCUGUUCAUUUUUCUCAUCUUUCCAUCUUCUUCAUCAAUCUUCUACCUUUCAUCUUCUUUUCUUUAUUAAAAAAAAAAGUUCUACGGAAAGUCAAAAGAUCAUCCCAUCUGAAGCUAAAGAAAGAUAGAUUUGAGGGCAAAUCUUUUUAAAAGAGGAGGGAAUGAUGCGUCCCGAAUCAGCAGCAAAAACAAAUCAAGAAGUUUUGGCUUUGGGUUUGCGAUUAAUCGAGAUGGGGUUGAAGUAUAUUGCAAAUGUGUUUAUGAACAUGUAUCCGUCCAAAGAAAGAAACAUGUAUCCGCCCAAAGAAAGAAAGGCCCAACAAGAAAUUAUAAGUGGUGGUUGUAUAAUAUAUCAAUCUGACGGCAAUUCAGAAACCGUCGACCAUGUGGAAGCACGAGAUCAGCCGAAGAGUUUGGCGACCACAAUCUUUCAAUUUCGGUCAAGUCAAGACAUUUAUGAUUUUUGGUCAAUUCAAGGUCUUUGGCCAAGUCUUCCUUGUUUUUAUAAGUUGUUAAUUUCUAUGUUUGACUAGUCUUUUGUAUUCCAACUUUUUGUAUGUUUUGCCUAUUAUAUAAAGGCCAUUUGAUCAAUGAAAUAAAAUAAGCUUUGAUUAUUA